UAAAGUGAAUUAAGAUGCUUACAAAUUACAACCUCCUCCUCAACAGGUAUUACCAAAUUUCUGUAAGUUAUAUACAGCCAACACAUAUGAACACACCUUAUCAUACUAUGUAUAUCAACAUGUAAUUAACUAGUUUUGUCUGUGUAACAUAGGAAUCAGGAAACACAUACAUGAUACAUCUGUGUGCUUGCUACUCUUGUUUCCUUUCCACUUCUAGGGAAAUCUCAUUACGCCGUGUAAAUGGAAGUGUAAAUGGUGGGUUAUACUGAAUAUAAUACAUAAACACUUCUUAUUAAUUAUUUAUGCUUGAAUUUAUUUUUUAUUCUUUUAAGAUCAUUUAUAUAAUUUAAUUACCUGUGCAACCUCCACAGAUGCUCCACUUUUUACUUUGUAUUGACUAUCAUUCUUUAGGCUGUUCCUGAGUGCUGAUUCCCGGCGUAUAACAUCUUCAUCACUCACAAACCCUGAAUUGAGAUUUCAGAAUGCCAUAUUUUUCAUAAAUGUACAUUUUCUUUUAAUCAAAAUAGGCUAAUUUCGUCUUUCUUUUAGAAUAUAAUCAAUGAAAGGAAUCACUCACCUGAAAAGGCAACAACAGCCAC
This 599-nucleotide long non-coding RNA is filed under the name Lactuca sativa (garden lettuce). RNAcentral describes it as "long non-coding RNA (LSAT_LNC008281)". The record is from RNAcentral. Lineage: Eukaryota; Viridiplantae; Streptophyta; Magnoliopsida; Asterales; Asteraceae.